This 506-nucleotide ribosomal RNA is filed under the name uncultured bacterium. Its description in RNAcentral is "partial 16S ribosomal RNA". It matches the Rfam family "Bacterial small subunit ribosomal RNA", at positions 28 to 523 of the family's 1533-position model. The record is from RNAcentral.
GAUGAACGCUAGCGGCAGGCCUAACACAUGCAAGUCGAGGGGUAACUAGAGUGAUAGCAAUAUUACUUUGGCUAGACCGGCGCACGGGUGCGUAACACGUAUGCAACCUACCUUAUACUGGGGAAUAACUUCGAGAAAUCGGCGCUAAUACCCCAUAACACUGCGGAGAGGCAUCUCUUUGCAGUUAAAGCUCCGGCGGUAUAAGAUGGGCAUGCGUCCAAUUAGCUAGUUGGUGAGGUAACGGCUCACCAAGGCUACGAUUGGUAGGGGUUCUGAGAGGAUGAUACCCCACACUGGUACUGAGACACGGAACAGGCUCCUACGGGAGGCAGCAGUGAGGAAUAUUGCGCAAUGGACGAAAGUCUGACGCAGCCAUGCCGCGUGCAGGAUGACGGCCCUAUGGGUUGUAAACUGCUUUUGUACGGGAAUAAACCCUUCUACGUGUAGGAGGCUGAAGGUACCGUAAGAAUAAGCACCGGCUAACUCCGUGCCAGCAGCCGCAGUAA